GGUCACUGGGCUUGGUGGCAGGCACCUUUAUACCAGGUGAGCCACUUCUCUGGCUCCUAAAGCCCUUUUUAUUAAAGAGACUUAGGUAACUAAACUAUUAUUAUUAUUAAUUUAUUUUUAUUUUAUGUGCACUGGUAUUUUGUCAGCAUGUAAGUCUGUGUGAAGGUGUCAGACUUUAGAGAGAUAAAGAAAUCACUUAAACUGACCAGGGCCAGUUGUGCUGCUGAAGGUGGGAGCUCCGUCAUUCACUGUUGGGGUUCCUUUACCUUCAUGGGUGCCGGUGAGAAGACUCAAGACUGCUUCUUGAUGCUGUCAAGGGUAGACUCUAACAUGGAUGGGCCACAGCGGCCUGACUCCAUCCAGGCAGGAGGAUGAAGAGCAGCCAGUUCGGGAUCCCAUGAGGGGACUCUGCUUUUCCGAGGGGAGGAGAGAGCCCUGCUUGCCACGUGGUCUGAGGUGUUUGAGCAGAGGUUGAAGGGACCACACCAUGUGUAAUAAAGCCCCUUUGUUUCUGUACUGCCCCAGGGAAUGCGUCUUUCUUUCUUUCUUUCUUUCUUUCUUUCUUUCUUUCUUUCUUUCUUUCUUUCUUUCUUUUUUUAUUAAAUUGGAUAUUUUAUUUGUUUACAUUUCAAAUGUUUCCCAGUUUCCCCUGGUAUCUAUUGUUGUUUUGAGACAGGGUUUCUCUGUGUAGCCUUGCCUAUCUUAGAACUCCCUCUGUAGACCAGGCUGGGCUUGAACUCAGAGAGAGCUGCCUACUGUUACCUCCAAAGUGCUGGGAUUAAAGGUAUGGGCCAUUAUUUCCUAGCUAUCUAUCUGUUUUUUUAUUUAUGUGAAUGUCUGCCUCUGUAGAGCCCAAAAGAGGGUGUCAGGACCCCUAGUGCUAGAAUUACAGGCUGUUAUAAACUGCCUAACAUGGGUGCUGAGGACCACAUGUGGGUCCUUUGGAAAAGCAGCAAGUGCUCUGAACUACUGAGCCAGCUCUCCAGCCCCAAGCACAUGAUAUUUUGUGUGAGUUUGUGUGUGUGUGUGUGUGUGUGUGUGUGUGUGUGUUAUUUUUGAUAAAGCAUGAAGAGAGCUGAAUCCCAGUCUGGGGCUGCUUAGUGCAGAGGGGAGAGAUCACUCUUAUGAAGUGAGCUAGGCAGUCAGAACUCCAGCAGGAGCCAUUGGGACUUCUCAUGCACUUGGGAUAAGGGGUCAUCAGCUUUAAGAACAUGCCCAAGGACAUGCCUGCAGCUCACACCCGAUUGCUGCCAUCCUAGUGUUCAGAUGUAUAGUCAGGUUUCCCUGCUAACAAUCCUUUCUGACCAAAGAAAGCCAGUUCUAGUUCAGAUGCCACACAGAAAGGUCUUGGUCACACCCUUCCAUCCCUGUGAGUUACACAGAAGCCCAGGAUGCUGGCCAAAGACCCAGAGUGGCAGCCUUCCCAGCUACGGCCCUCGGGGUGAAGGGGUGAGAAGAGCAGUAAGUUCUUGGGACUUGAAGACUAAGGAGACAUCACUGCUCCUGUGAGUGCAGUAAAGCAAGGGGCAAGCC
This 1533-nucleotide long non-coding RNA is filed under the name Mus musculus (house mouse). RNAcentral's name for it is "long non-coding RNA chr6:86581942-86583475". The record is from RNAcentral. Lineage: Eukaryota; Metazoa; Chordata; Mammalia; Rodentia; Muridae.